This is a small nuclear RNA of Otolemur garnettii (small-eared galago), 104 nucleotides long. Lineage: Eukaryota; Metazoa; Chordata; Mammalia; Primates; Galagidae. The record is from Ensembl.
GUGCUUGCUUCAGCAGCACAUAUACUAAAAUUGGAAGGAUACAGAGAUUAGCAUGGCCCCUGUGAAAGGAGGACAUGCAAAUUCAUGAAGCGUUCCAUAUUAAA